RNAcentral lists this long non-coding RNA (1382 nucleotides) under Oryctolagus cuniculus (rabbit). RNAcentral's name for it is "lncRNA (ENSOCUG00000038272.1)". The record is from RNAcentral. Lineage: Eukaryota; Metazoa; Chordata; Mammalia; Lagomorpha; Leporidae.
CUCACAGGGGUGUCAGGGACCUUGCUCCUCUAAGGAUGUUCCCCAGAAGGAAGCUGGGUCAGAAGCAGGGCAGGACUUAAACUCAGGCACUCCUGUAUGAGAUGUGGGCAUUUCAAACAACAUUUUAACCCUGCUGUGCCUCCAUACCCACUCCCUGGAUGAUCUUUCCUUCGUCAUCAUGUGUCCCUCUCCUUCCCCUCUCCCAGCAUCUGAAUCUCUCAGAACUUAAGCUGGUAGGGAAGCAGCAGGUGUAUUGCUAUAAUGUUCAAUCUUUCAGUUGCUUGAAAUUUGGCUGGAAUUGGGGAAGGGUCAGGAAAUGUUGAAAAUAAUUUAGAAGAUUAUUCAUUACAUUAAGCCAUUCUCUCCAGAUCAUGCCUAUAUUUACUAAAGACUGUUGGAGGCUCCUCCUUUACGAAGUAAGACUGCAAGCCCUCUGGUUUGAGUUUGAGAUUCUACUUUGAGCUCUAAGUUGUAUCCAGUCGAGCUGAAUGUGUCUUUCCUUCCUCUGGUCACUUUCUGUACUGUUUGUCCAGAUGUCCCUAAAUGACUCCUUGGAGAUGAUGCUCCAGCACUCUGACACUGGCCAUAGCCUCCAGAUGGCAUUUUUCAUCUAUCUCAGGGAGUACACGUCUCAGCCAGAAUUUGGGAGGUUUUAUUUCAUCAUUACCUACAUACGACCCAUCAGCUCCCGGCUUUCCUUCCUGGAAGUGGGGCGUUCUUCAAAUGCGGUCACUUGUUUGGAUAAUGCCCUGAUUCUGAACCCUGCUAGCAACACUGCCAACACAUCAGCUCUCGGACCGAAUGGCUCCUGAAACUGGCUCCUGCCAUCCAUAACCUGCUAAUGGACCAGGGCUUCUGCUGAGGGGCGGGAGAAUUCUGCUGCCUUAGCAGACAUCUGGGGAACCGAAACACUCUCACCAAGCAGAGGAACGCACCUGCAGCUUUCCACACUCAAUGAAAUCUCGGUGACCGGUACUGUAGAUGGAAAAGGUGAUGCUUGGACACUUCUUUUUAUGUUUGAAAAUACAGUGUUUCCCCUUGAAGAGACAAUCUUAAAGAACCUUUUAGGAGAGGCACUGCGGCACAGCAGGUCAAGCUGCCCCCGCAUCAUCUGAAUCCCAUAGCAGAGCAUUGGUUCUGGUUCUGACGGCUCCACUUCUCAUCCAGGUCCCUGCUACUGCGCCUGGGAAGUCAGUUGAAGAUGCUUCUAGACUUAGGCCCCUGUCUCCCAGGCGGGAGACCCAGAUGGAGUUUCCGGCUUCUGGCUUUGGCCUGGAUCAGCCUGGGCCAUAGUGGCCAUAUGAAGACUGAACAAGUUGUUAAAAGAUUUCUCUCUCUUUCUUCAUCACUUUUCCUUUCAAAUAAAUAAAUAAAAUAUAUCA